RNAcentral lists this ribosomal RNA (758 nucleotides) under uncultured bacterium. RNAcentral describes it as "bacterial SSU rRNA". It matches the Rfam family "Bacterial small subunit ribosomal RNA", at positions 8 to 796 of the family's 1533-position model. The record is from RNAcentral.
AGAGUUUGAUCCUGGCUCAGAAUCAACGCUGGCGGCGUGCCUAACACAUGCAAGUCGAACGAGAAAGUGGAGCAAUCCAUGAGUAAAGUGGCGCACGGGUGAGUAACACGUGACUAACCUACCUUUGAGCGGGGGAUAACCUAGGGAAACCUGGGCUAAUACCGCAUAAUACCUACGGGUCAAAGCGAGCAAUCGCACUUAAAGAGGGGGUCGCGGCAGAUUAGCUAGUUGGUGAGGUAAUGGCUCACCAAGGCGAUGAUCUGUAUCCGGCCUGAGAGGGCGCACGGACACACUGGAACUGAAACACGGUCCAGACUCCUACGGGAGGCAGCAGUGGGGAAUUUUGUGCAAUGGGGGAAACCCUGACGCAGCAACGCCGCGUGGAGGAUGAAAUCCCUUGGGAUGUAAACUCCUUUCGAUCGGGACGAUAAUGACGGUACCGAUAGAAGAAGCCCCGGCUAACUUCGUGCCAGCAGCCGCGGUAAUACGAGGGGGGCAAGCGUUGUUCGGAAUUAUUGGGCGUAAAGGGUGCGUAGGCGGUUUGAUAAGUCUUGUGCGAAAUCUCUGGGCUCAACCCAGAGUCUGCAUAGGAAACUGUCGGGCUUGAGAACGGGAGAGGUGAGUGGAAUUUCCGGUGUAGCGGUGAAAUGCGUAGAUAUCGGAAGGAACACCUGUGGCGAAAGCGGCUCACUGGACCAUUUCUGACGCUGAUGCACGAAAGCUAGGGGAGCAAACAGGAUUAGAUACCCUGGUAGUCC